This 363-nucleotide RNase P RNA is filed under the name Synergistaceae bacterium. Its description in RNAcentral is "RNase P RNA component class A". It matches the Rfam family "Bacterial RNase P class A". From Rfam's summary of the family: Ribonuclease P (RNase P) is a ubiquitous endoribonuclease, found in archaea, bacteria and eukarya as well as chloroplasts and mitochondria. Its best characterised activity is the generation of mature 5'-ends of tRNAs by cleaving the 5'-leader elements of precursor-tRNAs. The record is from RNAcentral. Lineage: Bacteria; Thermotogati; Synergistota; Synergistia; Synergistales; Synergistaceae.
UGAGCUGCUCUGACGACCGCUGAGAUGUGGAUUUGAGAUGUGAAUUUCAAAUUAAAUGUCUUGGAGGAAAGUCCGGGCUCCAUAGGGCAGGAUGCCGGGUAACGCCCGGUCGGCGCGAGCUGAAGGAAAGUGCCACAGAAAAUACACAGCCCCUUUGCGGGGUAACGGUGAAAAGGUAGGGUAAGAGCCUACCGAAUGCGGUGCGAGCCGCAUGUCUGGCAAACCCCAUCCGGAGCAAGAUCGAAUAGAGGGGUACGAGGCGGCCCGCCGACCCCUGGGUCGAUCGCUUGAGGUAUGUCGCAAGGCAUAACCCAGAUAAAUGGUCGUCUAGACACAGAACCCGGCUUACGAGCGGCUCAUUUU